UACGUAGGUGGCAAGCGUUGUCCGGAAUUACUGGGUGUAAAGGGAGCGCAGGCGGGAAGCCAAGUCAGCUGUGAAAACUACGGGCUUAACUUGUAGACUGCAGUUGAAACUGGUUUUCUUGAGUGAAGUAGAGGUUGGCGAAAUUCCGAGUGUAGCGGUGAAAUGCGUAGAUAUUCGGAGGAACACCGGUGGCGAAGGCGGCCAACUGGGCUUUAACUGACGCUGAGGCUCGAAAGUGUGGGGAGCAAACAGG
RNAcentral lists this ribosomal RNA (253 nucleotides) under uncultured bacterium. RNAcentral's name for it is "partial 16S ribosomal RNA". It matches the Rfam family "Bacterial small subunit ribosomal RNA", at positions 524 to 776 of the family's 1533-position model. The record is from RNAcentral.